Molecule: ribosomal RNA, 484 nt
Filed under: uncultured bacterium
Lineage: Bacteria
Description: partial 16S ribosomal RNA
Rfam family: Bacterial small subunit ribosomal RNA
Source: RNAcentral
AUUGAACGCUGGCGGCAGGCCUAACACAUGCAAGUCGAGCGGAUGAAGGGAGCUUGCUCCUGGAUUCAGCGGCGGACGGGUGAGUAAUGCCUAGGAAUCUGCCUGGUAGUUGGGGAUAACGUCCGGACACGGGCGCUAAUACCGCAUACGUCCUGAGGGAGAAAGUGGGGGAUCUUCGGACCUCACGCUAUCAGAUGAGCCUAGGUCGGAUUAGCUAGUUGGUGGGGUAAAGGCCUACCAAGGCGACGAUCCGUAACUGGUCUGAGAGGAUGAUCAGUCACACUGGAACUGAGACACGGUCCAGACUCCUACGGGAGGCAGCAGUGGGGAAUAUUGGACAAUGGGCGAAAGCCUGAUCCAGCCAUGCCGCGUGUGUGAAGAAGGUCUUCGGAUUGUAAAGCACUUUUAGUUGGGAGGAAGGGCAGUAAGUUAAUACCUUGCUGUUUUGACGUUACCAACAGAAUAAGCACCGGCUAACUUCGUG